CCUACGGGUGGCAGCAGUGAGGAAUAUUGGUCAAUGGACGAGAGUCUGAACCAGCCAAGUAGCGUGAAGGAUGACUGCCCUAUGGGUUGUAAACUUCUUUUAUAUGGGAAUAAAACGUUCCACGUGUGGGAUUUUGUAUGUACCAUAUGAAUAAGGAUCGGCUAACUCCGUGCCAGCAGCCGCGGUAAUACGGAGGAUCCGAGCGUUAUCCGGAUUUAUUGGGUUUAAAGGGAGCGUAGGUGGAUUGUUAAGUCAGUUGUGAAAGUUUGAGGCUCAACCGUAAAAUUGCAGUUGAAACUGGCAGUCUUGAGUACAGUAGAGGUGGGCGGAAUUCGUGGUGUAGCGGUGAAAUGCUUAGAUAUCACGAAGAACUCAGAUUGCGAAGGCAGUUCACUGGACUGCAACUGACACUGAGGCUCGAAAGUGUGGGUAUCAAACAGGAUUAGAUACCCGUGUAGUC
This 460-nucleotide ribosomal RNA is filed under the name uncultured bacterium. Its description in RNAcentral is "partial 16S ribosomal RNA". It matches the Rfam family "Bacterial small subunit ribosomal RNA", at positions 338 to 795 of the family's 1533-position model. The record is from RNAcentral.